Molecule: ribosomal RNA, 253 nt
Filed under: uncultured bacterium
Lineage: Bacteria
Description: partial 16S ribosomal RNA
Rfam family: Bacterial small subunit ribosomal RNA
Source: RNAcentral
UACGGAGGGUGCGAGCGUUGCUCGGAAUCACUGGGCGUAAAGCGUACGCAGGCGGUCAUGUAAGUCGGGUGUGAAAUCCCGGGGCUCAACCCCGGAACUGCGCCCGAGACUGCACGACUUGAAUGCGGGAGAGGAAAGCGGAAUUCCUGGUGUAGAGGUGAAAUUCGUAGAUAUCAGGAGGAACACCUGUGGCGAAAGCGGCUUUCUGGCCCGACAUUGACGCUCAUGUACGAAAGCGCGGGGAGCAAACAGG